GUAGAACUAGCACCGUGAACAGGGCUGCUACAGCUUGCAGUCCUGAGGCCCUGGGAAGAGGGUGAUGAAGCCAGAGGCAGGAGCCGAAGAAAAUAACAAUACAAAAAGGGAGAGGAAUGGGGAGACUAGAGCAGAAUGAAGGUGAAGAAAUGUAGCCACCCAAAUAGACAGCGGGAGAAGGAAAGAGAAAAAGGCACAGAAAUCAAUCACACUUGACAUCCCUGCUUCCAGCGCAUAAUGGAACUGCUACCAACACACUUUGAAAAGACACAAUUCCUUCUGUAGAGGUUCUCUCCCUCCUCCUCCUCCUCCUCCACCCGCCCUUCCCAAGGCUGAAUUGUGUAUAAAAUAUUUAUGGUUACUCCUGUUGUAGUAAAACUGCUCUCAUUACAGUUUCCCUGCUGAGUAAAAUUGCAUUGUAAAAGGAUGUGUCUGUAAUUCUGAAGUUUCUGGUAGUUUGUGAUGCAAAUCAUCUUUUUCAGCUAGUGAAGACUGUAAGAAUAAAAGCACAGGCCAGUUCUGAG
Chelonia mydas (Green sea turtle) is the source of this 524-nucleotide long non-coding RNA. RefSeq lists it as uncharacterized. The transcript has 3 exons. NCBI's taxonomy places the organism in Eukaryota, Metazoa, Chordata, Testudines, Cheloniidae. The record is from RefSeq and is a predicted model, not a curated record.